RNAcentral lists this ribosomal RNA (479 nucleotides) under uncultured bacterium. Its description in RNAcentral is "bacterial SSU rRNA". It matches the Rfam family "Bacterial small subunit ribosomal RNA", at positions 28 to 517 of the family's 1533-position model. The record is from RNAcentral.
GAUGAACGCUAGCGGCAGGCCUAAUACAUGCAAGUCAAGGGGCCAGCAAUACCAACCGGCGAACGGGUGCGUAACACGUAAGCGACCUGCCCUGGAGUGGGGGAUAGCCGGCCCAACGGCCGGGUAAUACCGCAUACGACGAUCGGGGGGCAUUCUUUGAUCGUGAAACCUGCGGGGCUCUGGGAGGGGCUUGCGGCCUAUCAGCUAGUUGGCGGGGUAAUGGCCCACCAAGGCGACGAUCGCUAGCUGGUCUGAGAGGAUGAUCAGCCACACUGGAACUGAGACACGGUCCAGACUCCUACGGGAGGCAGCAGUAAGGAAUAUUGGUCAAUGGACGAAAGUCUGAACCAGCCAUGCCGCGUGAAGGAUGAAGGCCCUCUGGGUUGUAAACUUCUUUUAUAGGGGACGAAAAAGGGAAUUACUUUCCCACUUGACGGUACCCUAGGAAUAAGCACCGGCUAACUCCGUGCCAGCAGCCG